RNAcentral lists this ribosomal RNA (326 nucleotides) under uncultured eukaryote. RNAcentral's name for it is "partial 18S ribosomal RNA". It matches the Rfam family "Eukaryotic small subunit ribosomal RNA", at positions 1470 to 1796 of the family's 1831-position model. The record is from RNAcentral.
CCCUUAGAUGUUCUGGGCCGCACGCGCGCUACACUGAUGCAUUCAACAAGUCUAGCCUUGACCGAGAGGUCCGGGUAAUCUUUGAAACUGCAUCGUGAUGGGGCUAGAUUAUUGCAAUUAUUAAUCUUCAACGAGGAAUGCCUAGUAAGCGUGAUUCAUCAAAUCGCGUUGAUUACGUCCCUGCCCUUUGUACACACCGCCCGUCGCUCCUACCGAUUGAAUGUGUUGGUGAGGAGCUCGGAUUGGCAGCAGUUGGUGGUUCGCCACCGGCUAUUGCUGAGAAGUCCUCCAAACCGCCCCAUUUAGAGGAAGGAGAAGUCGUAACA